RNAcentral lists this ribosomal RNA (464 nucleotides) under uncultured bacterium. RNAcentral describes it as "partial 16S ribosomal RNA". It matches the Rfam family "Bacterial small subunit ribosomal RNA", at positions 28 to 506 of the family's 1533-position model. The record is from RNAcentral.
GACGAACGCUGGCGGCGUGCUUAACACAUGCAAGUCGAACGGAAAGGCCCUGCUUGCAGGGUACUCGAGUGGCGAACGGGUGAGUAACACGUGGGUGAUCUGCCCUGCACUUCGGGAUAAGCCUGGGAAACUGGGUCUAAUACCGGAUAGGAGCCAUUUUUAGUGUGAUGGUUGGAAAGUUUUUUCGGUGUAGGAUGAGCUCGCGGCCUAUCAGCUUGUUGGUGGGGUAAUGGCCUACCAAGGCGGCGACGGGUAGCCGGCCUGAGAGGGUGGACGGCCACAUUGGGCCUGAGAUCGGGCCCAGACUCCCACGGGGGGCAGCAGGGGGGAAUUUUGCAAAAGGGGCGAAAGCCGGAUGCAGGGACGCCGGGUGGGGGGUGACGGCCUUCGGGUUUUAAACUCCUUUCCCUGGGGAAGAAGCUUUUUGGGACGGUACCUAGAUAAGAAGCACCGGCCAACUACGU